RNAcentral lists this ribosomal RNA (305 nucleotides) under uncultured bacterium. RNAcentral describes it as "bacterial SSU rRNA". It matches the Rfam family "Bacterial small subunit ribosomal RNA", at positions 333 to 631 of the family's 1533-position model. The record is from RNAcentral.
UCUAUCCUACGGGAGGCAGCAGUAGGGAAUUUUCGUUAAUGGGCGCAAGCCUGAACGAGCAAUGCCGCGUGAACGAGGAAGGUCUUCGGAUCGUAAAGUUCUGUUGAAGGGGAAAAAGAGCGGAGAGAGGAAAUGAACUCCGAUUGAUAUUACCCUUCGAGGAAGUCACGGCUAACUACGUGCCAGCAGCCGCGGUAAUACGUAGGUGGCGAGCGUUAUCCGGAAUGAUUGGGCGGAAAGGGUGCGUAGGCGGCCUGCUAAGUCUGGAGUGAAAGGUACCGGCUCAACCGGUACAGGCUCUGGAA